GCUCUUUUCAAGAUGCACACAAGGGACCGAAUCAUUUAAUGUGGGGCGAUCUCAAGUCGACUACUGUAGAUACAGUGAUACAACAUUCGCUCUGACAUCCGUUAAUGACUCCUACCAUAUUUGCAUUAUACUAAGUGUUCUUAUCCUAGCAUUGUGAAGCAAACGUCUCCUGAUCGCGCUUCUCUUCACAUAUACUGAGGGUGGCAAUAAUAGCGAGCUUUGGCAAGCGACGUUUUUGUCAAGAUGGAUGUCAGAUUGCCGAGGGAGGACUGGAUUAAAAACUGUGUUUGUAUCAGUUUGUGGUAAUCUUCAACAUAUAUGACAAAACAUCAGAUUUUUAAAGCUUUUUGCUGCCUUACAUGAGCGCUAUGAUGCAAAUACACCUGGAAAGUUCUUAUCUGCGGCUAUACAACUUCAUUUCUGUGUUUGAGGCAUUU
Paramuricea clavata is the source of this 437-nucleotide non-coding RNA. The record is from the annotation of a GenBank genome assembly. NCBI's taxonomy places the organism in Eukaryota, Metazoa, Cnidaria, Anthozoa, Malacalcyonacea, Plexauridae.